UGACAAUUAAUUAGAAUAUUAAACUAAAUUCGACUGCACUGUACAGGUUUAUUUCACAAAGCGAUAUCGCAAAGCGGCGUUGCAACAAAUCCUUGGGCUUUAACUGAAUGGACAAACCAAGCGGAAAGCAGAGGUUUCCAACUUGCCAAACAACUUGGAAGGCCGACAACAGAUCCGAAAGUCGCCUACGAAUUUCUUAAAACAAUCGACGCGAAAAAACUCGUAGAAACUACACAGAAGUCCCUUACCACGAAAGUAGAUCGUCUACAAUAUCUUAUAGUAUUUACACCCACUUUAGAUUACGAAUCACCGAAUCCAUUCUUUCCGGAGCAUCCAAAUACGUUAAUGCGCCGCGGAGUUAAAGUACCGUUCCUCUUAGGAAAUACCAGCUGCGAAGGAUCUUUCCUUAUUUGCAGUCAAUUAUUUGGAC
Wasmannia auropunctata (little fire ant) is the source of this 430-nucleotide long non-coding RNA. RefSeq lists it as uncharacterized. Lineage: Eukaryota; Metazoa; Arthropoda; Insecta; Hymenoptera; Formicidae. The transcript is spliced from 2 exons. The record is from RefSeq and is a predicted model, not a curated record.